GGUUCGAUCAAUGGCUCAGAUUGAACGCUGGCGGGAUGCUUUACACAUGCAAGUCGAACGGCAGCACGGACUUCGGUCUGGUGGCGAGUGGCGAACGGGUGAGUAAUGUAUCGGAACGUGCCUAGUAUGGGGAUAACUAGCGAAAGCGUAGCUACUACCGUGAUGGCCCUUCGGGGAAAGCGGGGACCUUUCGCCUCGCACUAUUGAGCGUCGAUAUCAUCGGAUUAGCUAGUUGGUGGGGUAACGGCUCACUGGUUAUGACGAUCCGUAGCUGGUUUGAGAGGACGACCAGCCACACUGGGACUGGCAUACGGCCCAGACUCCUACGGGAGGCAGCAGUGGGGAAUUUUGGACAAUGGGGGAAACCCUGAUCCAGCCAUCCUCGGCGUGUGGCGACAAGGCCUUCGGGUUGUAAAGCACUUUUGGCAGGAAGAAACGGCAUGGGAUAAUACCCGUGCAACUGACGGUACCUGCAGAAUAAGCACCGGCCAAUCACGCCAGCAGCCGCGGUAAACAGCGUAGGGCAAGCGUUAAUCGGAAUUACUGGGCGUAAAGUGCAGGCGUGGUCUGGAAAAGAAAGAUGUGAAAUCCCAGAGCUUAACUUUGAACUGCAUUUUUAACUACCGAGCUAGAGUCAGAGGGAGGUGGAAUUCCGCGCGUGUAGCAGUGAAAUGCGUAGAUAUGCGGAGGAACACCGAUGGCGAAGGCAAGUCCUGGGAUAACACUGACGGCCAUGCAGAGCGUGGGGAGCAAACAGGAUUGAAGUACCCUGCAGUCCACGCCCAAAACGAUGUCAACUACGGUAUGGGGGCCUUCGGGCCUUGUAGCGCAGCUAACGCGUGAAGUUGGACCGCCUGGGGAGUACGGUCGCAAGAUUAAAACUCAGCGAAUUGAUUGUGACCCGCACAAGCGGUGGAUGAUGUGGAUUAAUUCGAUGCAACGCGAAAACCUUACCUACCCUUGACAUGUCUGGAAUCCCGAAGAGAUUUGGGAGUGUCGCGGGGCGGAGAAAUCCGGAACACAGGUGCGUAUGGCUGUCGUCAGCUCUCGUGUCGUGAGAUGUUGUUGGAGUCCCAACGAGCGCAACCCUUGUCAUUAGUUGCGAAAGGGCACUUCCAUCGAGACUGCCGGUGACAAACCGGAGGAAGGUGGGAUGACGUCAAGUCUCAUGGCCUCUUAUGGGCAGGGUCACACGCCGCAAUGGUCGGGACAGAGGUCGCCAACCCGCGAGGGGAGCUAACCGUGAAACCCGAUCGUAGUCCGGAUCGCGGUGUCUGCACCGACUGCGGAAGGAAUCGCUAGCAAUCGCGGAUCAGCAUGUCGCGGUGAAUACGUUCCCGGGUCUUGUACACACCGCCCGUCACACCAUGGGAGUGGGUUUUACCAGAAGUAGUUAGCUUCCAACUGUAUGAGGCGAUUACCACAGUAGGAUUCAUGACUGGGGAAGUCGUAACAAGGUAG
RNAcentral lists this ribosomal RNA (1461 nucleotides) under uncultured Bordetella sp. Its description in RNAcentral is "partial 16S-23S ribosomal RNA intergenic spacer". It matches the Rfam family "Bacterial small subunit ribosomal RNA". Lineage: Bacteria; Pseudomonadati; Pseudomonadota; Betaproteobacteria; Burkholderiales; Alcaligenaceae. The record is from RNAcentral.